UCCAAUCAGAAGAAGAAGAAGAAACAGAAAGCAUCAGACAUACGAGAAGAAGAACUACUACCGAAAUCCCGGUCCAUCCAAAUAGUUUCGAAUCUAUAUGCUCUACGUUGGCAUAGAAGGGGAUACUGAAUAAUAGCAAGCAACAAUUUGCAAGCAAUUCCAAACGUCUUGAAGAAA
RNAcentral lists this small RNA (177 nucleotides) under Drosophila willistoni. Its description in RNAcentral is "GK28063". The record is from RNAcentral. Lineage: Eukaryota; Metazoa; Arthropoda; Insecta; Diptera; Drosophilidae.